AUACGGAGGAUCCGAGCGUUAUCCGGAUUUAUUGGGUUUAAAGGGAGCGUAGGCGGAUUAUUAAGUCAGUUGUGAAAGUUUGCGGCUCAACCGUAAAAUUGCAGUUGAUACUGGUAGUCUUGAGUGCAGCAGAGGUAGGCGGAAUUCGUGGUGUAGCGGUGAAAUGCUUAGAUAUCACGAAGAACUCCGAUCGCGAAGGCAGCUCACCGGGCCGGAACUGACACUGAUGCUCGAAAGUGCGGGUAUCAAACAGGAUUAGAUACCCUGGUAGUCCGCACAGUAAACGAUGAAUACUCGCUGUUUGCGAUACACGGUAAGCGGCCAAGCGAAAGCGUUAAGUAUUCCACCUGGGGAGUACGCCGGCAACGGUGAAACUUAAAGGAAUUGACGGGG
RNAcentral lists this ribosomal RNA (393 nucleotides) under uncultured bacterium. Its description in RNAcentral is "partial 16S ribosomal RNA". It matches the Rfam family "Bacterial small subunit ribosomal RNA", at positions 523 to 918 of the family's 1533-position model. The record is from RNAcentral.